This 2902-nucleotide ribosomal RNA is filed under the name Klebsiella pneumoniae. Its description in RNAcentral is "23S ribosomal RNA". It matches the Rfam family "Bacterial large subunit ribosomal RNA". Lineage: Bacteria; Pseudomonadati; Pseudomonadota; Gammaproteobacteria; Enterobacterales; Enterobacteriaceae. The record is from RNAcentral. RNAcentral also lists the same sequence under 3 other names.
GGUUAAGCGACUAAGCGUACACGGUGGAUGCCCUGGCAGUCAGAGGCGAUGAAGGACGUGCUAAUCUGCGAAAAGCGUCGGUAAGGUGAUAUGAACCGUUAUAACCGGCGAUGUCCGAAUGGGGAAACCCAGUGCAAUUCGUUGCACUAUCGUUAACUGAAUACAUAGGUUAACGAGGCGAACCGGGGGAACUGAAACAUCUAAGUACCCCGAGGAAAAGAAAUCAACCGAGAUUCCCCCAGUAGCGGCGAGCGAACGGGGAGCAGCCCAGAGUCUGAAUCAGCUUGUGUGUUAGUGGAACGGUCUGGAAAGUCCGACGGUACAGGGUGAUAGUCCCGUACACCAAAAUGCACAGGCUGUGAACUCGAAGAGUAGGGCGGGACACGUGGUAUCCUGUCUGAAUAUGGGGGGACCAUCCUCCAAGGCUAAAUACUCCUGACUGACCGAUAGUGAACCAGUACCGUGAGGGAAAGGCGAAAAGAACCCCGGCGAGGGGAGUGAAAAAGAACCUGAAACCGUGUACGUACAAGCAGUGGGAGCACCUUCGGGUGUGACUGCGUACCUUUUGUAUAAUGGGUCAGCGACUUAUAUUCUGUAGCAAGGUUAACCGUAUAGGGGAGCCGCAGGGAAACCGAGUCUUAACUGGGCGUUAAGUUGCAGGGUAUAGACCCGAAACCCGGUGAUCUAGCCAUGGGCAGGUUGAAGGUUGGGUAACACUAACUGGAGGACCGAACCGACUAAUGUUGAAAAAUUAGCGGAUGACUUGUGGCUGGGGGUGAAAGGCCAAUCAAACCGGGAGAUAGCUGGUUCUCCCCGAAAGCUAUUUAGGUAGCGCCUCGUGAACUCAUCUUCGGGGGUAGAGCACUGUUUCGGCUAGGGGGUCAUCCCGACUUACCAACCCGAUGCAAACUACGAAUACCGAAGAAUGUUAUCACGGGAGACACACGGCGGGUGCUAACGUCCGUCGUGAAGAGGGAAACAACCCAGACCGCCAGCUAAGGUCCCAAAGUCAUGGUUAAGUGGGAAACGAUGUGGGAAGGCACAGACAGCCAGGAUGUUGGCUUAGAAGCAGCCAUCAUUUAAAGAAAGCGUAAUAGCUCACUGGUCGAGUCGGCCUGCGCGGAAGAUGUAACGGGGCUAAACCAUGCACCGAAGCUGCGGCAGCGACACUAUGUGUUGUUGGGUAGGGGAGCGUUCUGUAAGCCUGCGAAGGUGUGCUGUGAGGCAUGCUGGAGGUAUCAGAAGUGCGAAUGCUGACAUAAGUAACGAUAAAGCGGGUGAAAAGCCCGCUCGCCGGAAGACCAAGGGUUCCUGUCCAACGUUAAUCGGGGCAGGGUGAGUCGACCCCUAAGGCGAGGCCGAAAGGCGUAGUCGAUGGGAAACAGGUUAAUAUUCCUGUACUUGGUGUUACUGCGAAGGGGGGACGGAGAAGGCUAUGUUAGCCGGGCGACGGUUGUCCCGGUUUAAGCAUGUAGGCUGAUUGUCCAGGCAAAUCCGGAUAAUCAAGGCUGAGGUGUGAUGACGAGGCACUACGGUGCUGAAGUAACAAAUGCCCUGCUUCCAGGAAAAGCCUCUAAGCAUCAGGUAACAUCAAAUCGUACCCCAAACCGACACAGGUGGUCAGGUAGAGAAUACCAAGGCGCUUGAGAGAACUCGGGUGAAGGAACUAGGCAAAAUGGUGCCGUAACUUCGGGAGAAGGCACGCUGGUGUGUAGGUGAAGUCCCUGCGGAUGGAGCUGAGACCAGUCGAAGAUACCAGCUGGCUGCAACUGUUUAUUAAAAACACAGCACUGUGCAAACACGAAAGUGGACGUAUACGGUGUGACGCCUGCCCGGUGCCGGAAGGUUAAUUGAUGGGGUUAUCCGUAAGGAGAAGCUCUUGAUCGAAGCCCCGGUAAACGGCGGCCGUAACUAUAACGGUCCUAAGGUAGCGAAAUUCCUUGUCGGGUAAGUUCCGACCUGCACGAAUGGCGUAAUGAUGGCCAGGCUGUCUCCACCCGAGACUCAGUGAAAUUGAACUCGCUGUGAAGAUGCAGUGUACCCGCGGCAAGACGGAAAGACCCCGUGAACCUUUACUAUAGCUUGACACUGAACAUUGAGCCUUGAUGUGUAGGAUAGGUGGGAGGCUUUGAAGCGUGGACGCCAGUCUGCGUGGAGCCAACCUUGAAAUACCACCCUUUAAUGUUUGAUGUUCUAACGUUGGCCCCUGACCGGGGUUGCGGACAGUGUCUGGUGGGUAGUUUGACUGGGGCGGUCUCCUCCCAAAGCGUAACGGAGGAGCACGAAGGUUAGCUAAUCCUGGUCGGACAUCAGGAGGUUAGUGCAAUGGCAUAAGCUAGCUUGACUGCGAGCGUGACGGCGCGAGCAGGUGCGAAAGCAGGUCAUAGUGAUCCGGUGGUUCUGAAUGGAAGGGCCAUCGCUCAACGGAUAAAAGGUACUCCGGGGAUAACAGGCUGAUACCGCCCAAGAGUUCAUAUCGACGGCGGUGUUUGGCACCUCGAUGUCGGCUCAUCACAUCCUGGGGCUGAAGUAGGUCCCAAGGGUAUGGCUGUUCGCCAUUUAAAGUGGUACGCGAGCUGGGUUUAGAACGUCGUGAGACAGUUCGGUCCCUAUCUGCCGUGGGCGCUGGAGAAUUGAGGGGGGCUGCUCCUAGUACGAGAGGACCGGAGUGGACGCAUCACUGGUGUUCGGGUUGUCAUGCCAAUGGCACUGCCCGGUAGCUAAAUGCGGAAGAGAUAAGUGCUGAAAGCAUCUAAGCACGAAACUUGCCCCGAGAUGAGUUCUCCCUGAGACUUUAAGUCUCCUGAAGGAACGUUAAAGACGAUGACGUUGAUAGGCCGGGUGUGUAAGCGCAGCGAUGCGUUGAGCUAACCGGUACUAAUGAACCGUGAGGCUUAACCUU